AUACGUAGGGAGCGAGCGUUGUCCGGAUUUAUUGGGCGUAAAGCGAGCGCAGGCGGAAAAAUAAGUCUAAUGUGAAAGCCCUCGGCUUAACCGAGGAACUGCAUCGGAAACUGUUUUUCUUGAGUGCAGAAGAGGAGAGUGGAACUCCAUGUGUAGCGGUGAAAUGCGUAGAUAUAUGGAGGAACACCGGUGGCGAAAGCGGCUCUCUGGUCUGUAACUGACGCUGAGGCUCGAAAGCGUGGGGAGC
This 247-nucleotide ribosomal RNA is filed under the name uncultured bacterium. Its description in RNAcentral is "partial 16S ribosomal RNA". It matches the Rfam family "Bacterial small subunit ribosomal RNA", at positions 523 to 769 of the family's 1533-position model. The record is from RNAcentral.